CUCUGUUCCAUGUAGGAUCCCGAUCCUUCAUGUAGUUGUCUUUUGAUCAUCCAUGGGAAUAAGUGUUUCUCGUUUUUCGUUACUGCUGGCACACAUACGAGAAAUAAGAGAUUCUUACCGGUACUGAACUCAAUUUUGUUUAGUGAGAAGAAGAAAUCUAUUGAUACACUUGUUUCAGAUCACAGCUUAUAUAAUUGUUUGAGAUUGUAAUUGAGAAAAUUUUUGGCGAUAUUACGUUGGAGAGACGUUACUGCUACACAAAUUGAAACAUAAUCAGAAAAAAAUGGAUCACAAAAUUUGGGUAUUAUUUAUGCUAGUCACCAUUAGCAUAUUAAUUCAUGAGACAAUGGCAUUACCAAAAUAUUUGUAUUGCCGUGAACAAUUUAAUGAAGGUUACGGCAAACAAUUACUAGAAAGAUUUUUUUUCAACUUUAAAACCCUUGACUGUGAACGUUUUUAUUAUAAAGGCUUUGGAGGAACUCUUAACAAUUUCCAGACCUUAAAUGAAUGCAUUUAUGUAUGUAAGAGCACGUUAAGCAGAACUGUUAAAAAAAUGUUUCACAUAGAUUACUAAAAGUUCUGUACAGUCUUGAUUACAUAUUGUACAUAUUGAUUACAUAUUUGUAUAAGG
Molecule: non-coding RNA, 631 nt
Organism: Linepithema humile (Argentine ant)
Lineage: Eukaryota; Metazoa; Arthropoda; Insecta; Hymenoptera; Formicidae
Source: RefSeq, a predicted model, not a curated record